Magnolia sinica is the source of this 107-nucleotide small nucleolar RNA. Lineage: Eukaryota; Viridiplantae; Streptophyta; Magnoliopsida; Magnoliales; Magnoliaceae. The record is from RefSeq and is a predicted model, not a curated record.
AACCCAUAUUGUGGACAUGAACUGACAAGAUCCUUGAAUCGCUCCCAAUAUUGGAAGAAUGUUUCAUCUUGUUUUUGGGUGAAGGUCAUAAUCGACUUUCUAAGGGU